GUCUACGGCCAUACCACCCUGAACGCGCCCGAUCUCGUCUGAUCUCGGAAGCUAAGCAGGGUCGGGCCUGGUUAGUACUUGGAUGGGAGAAAAGCAGAAGAACCUUUUACU
This is a ribosomal RNA of Mustela putorius furo (domestic ferret), 111 nucleotides long. The record is from Ensembl. Lineage: Eukaryota; Metazoa; Chordata; Mammalia; Carnivora; Mustelidae.